GAUGAACGCUGGCGGCGUGCCUAAUACAUGCAAGUCGAGCGAACAGACGAGGAGCUUGCUCCUCUGACGUUAGCGGCGGACGGGUGAGUAACACGUGGAUAACCUACCUAUAAGACUGGGAUAACUUCGGGAAACCGGAGCUAAUACCGGAUAAUAUAUUGAACCGCAUGGUUCAAUAGUGAAAGACGGUUUUGCUGUCACUUAUAGAUGGAUCCGCGCCGCAUUAGCUAGUUGGUAAGGUAACGGCUUACCAAGGCGACGAUGGGUAGCCGACCUGAGAGGGGGAUCGGCCACACGGGAACUGGGACACGGUCAGACUCCUACGGGAGGCAGCAGUAGGGAAUCUUCCGCAAUGGGCGAAAGCCUGACGGAGCAACGCCGCGUGAGUGAUGAAGGUCUUCGGAUCGUAAAACUCUGUUAUUAGGGAAGAACAAAUGUGUAAGUAACUAUGCACGUCUUGACGGUACCUAAUCAGAAAGCCACGGCUAACUACGUG
Molecule: ribosomal RNA, 496 nt
Filed under: uncultured bacterium
Lineage: Bacteria
Description: partial 16S ribosomal RNA
Rfam family: Bacterial small subunit ribosomal RNA
Source: RNAcentral